RNAcentral lists this ribosomal RNA (410 nucleotides) under uncultured bacterium. RNAcentral's name for it is "bacterial SSU rRNA". It matches the Rfam family "Bacterial small subunit ribosomal RNA", at positions 355 to 776 of the family's 1533-position model. The record is from RNAcentral.
UGGGGAAUAUUGCACAAUGGGGGAAACCCUGACGCAGCGACGCCGCGUGGGGGAUGACGGCCUUCGGGUUGUAAACCUCUUUCGCCAGGGACGAAGAGCAAUUGACGGUACCUGGAGAAGAAGCACCGGCCAACUACGUGCCAGCAGCCGCGGUAACACGUAGGGUGCGAGCGUUGUCCGGAAUUAUUGGGCGUAAAGAGCUCGUAGGCGGUGUGUCGCGUCGGCCGUGAAAACUUGGGGCUUAACUCUGAGCGUGCGGUCGAUACGGGCAUCACUUGAGUUCGGCAGGGGAGACUGGAAUUCCUGGUGUAGCGGUGAAAUGCGCAGAUAUCAGGAGGAACACCGGUGGCGAAGGCGGGUCUCUGGGCCGAUACUGACGCUGAGGAGCGAAAGCGUGGGGAGCGAACAGG